Bos taurus (domestic cattle) is the source of this 2103-nucleotide long non-coding RNA. The record is from Ensembl. NCBI's taxonomy places the organism in Eukaryota, Metazoa, Chordata, Mammalia, Artiodactyla, Bovidae.
GGAUGAGAUUAAUCACUUGCCAGGAUAUAAAAAAAAAGAAAACCAAAACAAAGGCAGGACUUUGGAGAUGGAAUAUCGACAAGCAGGAAGGGGUUUUGCAGUCCACACUGCAGCGGGCCAGCUGUCUGUGCUCUGUAAGCCCCUGGGGCCUGGGCCCCCUGAGCCACUGGCCUCUGCUGUGAGCCACACCCCUUGACCUCCCUUAGGCCCUUUCAGACAGACCAGGUGCCCUGUUACAAGCUCCCCUCUCUCCCUGGGUUCUUUCUUCUCCUGUCUCCUGCUCCACAGGACUGUCUGCUCACCUUUGUAUUCCCAGGGACUGGCCUUUAGCAGAAUCUCCUGGCGCUCAGCAGGUGUCCAGUAACAAUCUGGUGAAUGAAGGCAAGGUUCAAGUGUAGUUGUGUGCUGUUUGCUCCGUUGCUUAGUCACAUCCGACUCUUUGCGACCCUUGGAUUGUGUAGCCUGCCAGGUUCCUCUGUCCACGGGAUUUCCCAGAGAAAGGAGCAGGAGGAUCUCUCCCAGAAAGGCAGCUCCUCAGCUGACCUGAGUUCAGGCUGCCUACACUUGGGCUCCCUGUGCUGGAUGAAACAGGCCCACUGACACUCCCACCCUCAGGCCAAGGGGCUCGGUCGGGCCCUGUUUCAAUCCAGGAGAACAAUGAUCAUGUGAAAUCUAGAACACACAGGAGGAAGCAGAGAGGUUAAAGCAGUUGCGGUCUCCAGGUUGGCCUGGAAAAAGCCUGACCUGAACUGCAUUAAAUUCAUUUUAAAAAAGUAACCUAGGACUCCCCUGGUGGUCCAGGGGUUAAGUAUCCACCUUUCAAUGCAGGGGACACGGGUUUGAUCCCUGGUCAGGACACUAAGAUCUCACAUGUCAUAGUGAAAGAUUCCAUAUGACCCAAGUAUCCAGAGUACUGCAGCUGAGACCUGAUGCAGCCAAAAAAAUAUUUAAAAAAAGUAAGAAGGGAAAAACUGGGCCUCACUAAAGUUUAUACUUGAAUGUUCAUAGUAACUUUGUUUGGAAUAAUUAAAAUGGCAGGACUUCUCAAACAUCCAUCAGUACAUGAAUGAAUAAAUGGAUAAUGAUACAUGAACGCCGUGGAACACCAGAGUAAAAAGGAAUGAACUACACAAGAGAACAGGGCGGAACCGCAAAAUCACUGCUGGUGAAGAAGGAAUGCUCUUCUGAAAAAUUCCAGCCUGCUUUGAUGUAAGAGACAUGGGUUCGAUCACUGGGUUGGGAAGAUCUCCUGGAGGAGGGCGUGGCAACACUCCAGUAUUCUUGCCUGGAGAAUCCCAUGGGCAGAGGAGCCUGGCGGGCUACAGUCCAUAAGGUCACAAAGAGUCGGACACGACUGAGCAACUGAGCAUGCACGUUGUUCAUGGGAUCCCCCUUCCCAGUCCUAAGAUAUUGUGGGUGAGCAGAGCCUAGACCACGUGUGAGUCCCCCCACCCUCUGGCACUGUGCACUACAGAUAGGUCAGCUACAAAUUGGCACUAGCCAAGAGCAUUUGCCAGUGACUGAACAAGAGUAGCAAGGGCAUUUGCCAUCUGUUCUUCGGAGGAGAUUGAAUCCUGUGCAGCUGCUGACCUUCAAUACCCCCUGAGGGCGAUUCAGGGUGGAGACUGAGGCACUCUGUGCUGCAGAGAAACUGGUGGAACAGGUCUUUACAUAGUUAGAUAUUUGCAGGAACUGAUGUCAAGAUCCCAACCCUCGCAUCUCCUCAUAUCUAGAAAAUCACUAAAUCCCUUCAUGGUGACAUCAGCUCCUCAUGGCUAAGAAAACCUUUUGUAAAGUAAGCCUUGACUGCACUAAACUCUGCCAUUUGUGGCUCAGAUGGUAAAGAAUCGGCCUGCAAUGUAGAAGACCCAGGUUUGAUCCCUGGGUCUGGAAGAUUCCCUGGAGAAGAACAUGCAACCCACCCUAGUAGUCUUGCUUGGAGAAUUCCAUGGACAGAGGAGCCUGGUAGCCUACAGUCCAUGGGGUCGCAAAGAGUUGGACACGACUGAGUAACUAACACUUUUACUUUUCCACCUUCACCAAAAUCAUUUUACUGACCUUCCCCCACUUACUCUUUGGAACAGUUUCUCAGAGCUAUCUGAG